This is a long non-coding RNA of Hyaena hyaena (striped hyena), 595 nucleotides long. RefSeq lists it as uncharacterized. The transcript is spliced from 3 exons. Lineage: Eukaryota; Metazoa; Chordata; Mammalia; Carnivora; Hyaenidae. The record is from RefSeq and is a predicted model, not a curated record.
UUCUGCGUUAGAGAAGGAUUUUCCUUCCCAAUUAGGUGAUCUCAGGCAACCUUGUGAGUGCCAAUUUCCACAUUUGUAAAAUGAGAAUAAGCCUACCUAUCCAACUGACCACAACAGAGCUGGGGUGAGGAUAAAAUGAAAUGAUGUGAAAGACUUUUGUUACACACAGACAGAUGCAUCAACAAAGAAUCUAGGAAGAAAGGGCUCACUGAUAAUUUCCUUUCACCGUUUCUCUGCAUUACAUUUGGUUUCUGGAUCUAACACGACUGUAGUAUACAAGGUCUGUCCAAGAGGGGCGGUGGCUAAAGAUCAUGUUGAGAAUACAUGACCUUGGUGUGCAAGGUAAAAAGGAGGGACUAAGGAAGGCAGUUGGAAAAGAAACAUAUAGAAGGGGCCAAGAGAAACUAAGGACUCUGAACAAACCACCUGUCAGCAGUUUGUGGGCAGGCUCCAGACUCAGCGAGAAUGGAGGGAACUUACUACAUCUCGUGGAAGGAAGACCUCACAUGGCCAAGUGGUCAGUCCUCCCCAAAUGGAUCCCUGCCUUUGACACAAUCCCAAUCAAAAUUGCAGUGAGAGUUUUUUGAACUUGGAA